RNAcentral lists this ribosomal RNA (472 nucleotides) under uncultured bacterium. Its description in RNAcentral is "bacterial SSU rRNA". It matches the Rfam family "Bacterial small subunit ribosomal RNA", at positions 328 to 793 of the family's 1533-position model. The record is from RNAcentral.
GCAGAGCACUCCGUACGGGAGGCAGCAGUGGGAAUAUUGCACAAUGGGCGCAAGCCUGAUGCAGCCAUGCCGCGUGUAUGAAGAAGGCCUUCGGGUUGUAAAGUACUUUCAGCAGUGAGGAAGGUGGGUAUGUUAAUAGCAUAUUCAUUUGACGUUAGCUGCAGAAGAAGCACCGGCUAACUCCGUGCCAGCAGCCGCGGUAAUACGGAGGGUGCGAGCGUUAAUCGGAAUUACUGGGCGUAAAGCGCAUGCAGGUGGUUUGUUAAGUCAGAUGUGAAAGCCCGGGGCUCAACCUCGGAAUUGCAUUUGAAACUGGCAAACUAGAGUACUGUAGAGGGGGUAGAAUUUCAGGUGUAGCGGUGAAAUGCGUAGAGAUCUGAAGGAAUACCGGUGGCGAAGGCGGCCCCCUGGACAGAUACUGACACUCAGAUGCGAAAGCGUGGGGAGCAAACAGGAUUAGAUACCCUGGUAG